RNAcentral lists this ribosomal RNA (433 nucleotides) under uncultured bacterium. RNAcentral describes it as "partial 16S ribosomal RNA". It matches the Rfam family "Bacterial small subunit ribosomal RNA", at positions 29 to 507 of the family's 1533-position model. The record is from RNAcentral.
AACGAACGCUGGCGGCAUGCCUAACACAUGCAAGUCGAACGAGACCUUCGGGUCUAGUGGCGCACGGGUGCGUAACGCGUGGGAACCUGCCCUUAGGUUCGGAAUAACUCCCCGACAGGGGUGCUAAUACCGGAUAAUGUCUUCGGACCAAAGAUUUAUCGCCUUUGGAUGGGCCCGCGUUGGAUUAGCUAGUUGGUAGGGUAAAAGCCUACCAAGGCGACGAUCCAUAGCUGGUCUGAGAGGAUGAUCAGCCACACUGGGACUGAGACACGGCCCAGACUCCUACGGGAGGCAGCAGUGGGGAAUAUUGGACAAUGGGCGAGAGCCUGAUCCAGCAAUGCCGCGUGAGUGAUGAAGGCCUUAGGGUUGUAAAGCUCUUUUACCCGGGAUGAUAAUGACAGUACCGGGAGAAUAAGCUCCGGCUAACUCCGUG